GCGCCACUAGCUCAAUUGGAUAGAGCAUCGGUCUACGGAACCGAAGGUUGCAGGUUCGAAUCCUGCGUGGCGUA
Molecule: transfer RNA, 74 nt
Filed under: Phycisphaerae bacterium
Lineage: Bacteria; Pseudomonadati; Planctomycetota; Phycisphaerae
Also listed under: 1 other name
Description: tRNA-Arg
Rfam family: tRNA
About the family: Transfer RNA (tRNA) molecules are approximately 80 nucleotides in length.
Source: RNAcentral